AUUGAACGCUGGCGGCAUGCCUUACACAUGCAAGUCGAACGGCAGCGCGGACUUCGGUCUGGCGGCGAGUGGCGAACGGGUGAGUAAUACAUCGGAACGUACCCUGUUGUGGGGGAUAACUAGUCGAAAGAUUAGCUAAUACCGCAUACGACCUGAGGGUGAAAGUGGGGGACCGCAAGGCCUCACGCAGCAGGAGCGGCCGAUGUCUGAUUAGCUAGUUGGUGGGGUAAAGGCCCACCAAGGCGACGAUCAGUAGCUGGUCUGAGAGGACGAUCAGCCAGAGGGGAAAUGAGACACGGAGGGGGCGCCUCCGAGAGGCAGCAGUGGGGAAUAUUGGAGAAGGGGGGAAAGCCUGAUCCAGCCAUGGAGGGGGUGUGAAGAAGGUUGUCGGAUUGUAGGGCAGUUGAAGUGGGGAGGAAGAGAAGUAAGUGGAUACCUGGCUGCGGUGACGGGACCAAAAGAAGAAGCACCGGCUAACUUCGUG
This 484-nucleotide ribosomal RNA is filed under the name uncultured bacterium. RNAcentral describes it as "partial 16S ribosomal RNA". It matches the Rfam family "Bacterial small subunit ribosomal RNA", at positions 29 to 507 of the family's 1533-position model. The record is from RNAcentral.